Long non-coding RNA from Brassica napus (rape), 417 nucleotides. RefSeq lists it as uncharacterized. The record is from RefSeq and is a predicted model, not a curated record. The transcript is spliced from 2 exons. Lineage: Eukaryota; Viridiplantae; Streptophyta; Magnoliopsida; Brassicales; Brassicaceae.
AAUGUUUGUUGAGUGAAAAAUUUGUAGGUGUAGCAACGUUCUGCAGGGUGAAGUCACUAUCUUAAUUAGAUGAAGCAAUGUUGCCUAAGGCCGUUGACGUUCGUUCUUAAUUUCUUAUUCAAUGCUCCAUGAAACAAGAUGGUCACUUGUAGGUUGGUUAAUCUCGCCUUGUCAAGCCGGAAGAAGAGAGAGCGGUGACAAGGUGAAGCCGGAAGUGGAGACAACGGUGAAGCUACGGCUGAGGCGGUGAAGCCGAGGAGUACAGACGGAAGUUGGGCUAGUAUCAUUUUCUGGUUUUGAUUGUUUGGUCUCUGAAGUUAUAUCAUUCAUAAGAGUGAUUAGGAAGUGUUUUUGGAUUAUGAAAAGACCAAUUUUUUUAAGAAUCUUUGAUUAAGAAACUUUCAUUGGAGGACAAAA